GGAGGAGCUCAGCUUCGGAACGCUCACAGCAGUGUGGUCUCCAGAAGGGAUCCCAAGCUCUGUGCCUCCCUGCACAAACCGCUGGACAGCACCAAGUCCAAAAGGCUCACGGUGCUCAUCAUCUCCACCAACACCACCCUCCUGUCUGUGGAGACCAACUGCUUCUACCAGCUGAAGCUGAGCACCCGUUUCGUGCUCUGAGCGCUUGAUGAAACCGUGCAUGGACCCCAUCAGCUACAGGAAGAGCGGUUAUGGCACCUUGGACAUCCUCCUUACUGCCUUCUGCCUGCAUAUCCACCCCACAGGCUCCAACCUGCAGGAGGUGACCCACUCGCUCCGAAGCACCCGCAUCGUUAAGGUCCUCAGGUACAACGAGGGGAUGAAGCAGCUUGGGCACUGGCACAAAAAUGGGCUAAAAAUCCAUACGGAGAGCUACGGAGAUGCUGAG
This is a long non-coding RNA of Gallus gallus (chicken), 448 nucleotides long. The record is from Ensembl. NCBI's taxonomy places the organism in Eukaryota, Metazoa, Chordata, Aves, Galliformes, Phasianidae.